Molecule: ribosomal RNA, 97 nt
Filed under: uncultured bacterium
Lineage: Bacteria
Description: partial 16S ribosomal RNA
Source: RNAcentral
CGUCCUUGCACACACCGCCCGUCGCUUCAUUGAAGUUGGGUUUGUGCGAGGUGACGCCUAAUUGACGUCAUCGAACACGAGUUUAGCAACAAGGGAG